This 440-nucleotide ribosomal RNA is filed under the name uncultured Renibacterium sp. RNAcentral describes it as "bacterial SSU rRNA". It matches the Rfam family "Bacterial small subunit ribosomal RNA", at positions 358 to 790 of the family's 1533-position model. Lineage: Bacteria; Bacillati; Actinomycetota; Actinomycetes; Micrococcales; Micrococcaceae. The record is from RNAcentral.
GGAAUUUUCCGCAAUGGGCGAAAGCCUGACGGAGCAAUGCCGCGUGGAGGCAGAAGGCCUUCGGGUUGUAAAGCUCUUUUGUCAGGGAAGAAACGGUGAAAGCUAAUAUCUUUUGCUAAUGACGGUACCUGAAGAAUAAGCGCCGGCUAACUACGUGCCAGCAGCCGCGGUAAUACGUAGGGCGCAAGCGUUAUCCGGAAUUACUGGGCGUAAAGAGCUCGUAGGCGGUUUGUCGCGUCUGCCGUGAAAGUCCGGGGCUCAACUCCGGAUCUGCGGUGGGUACGGGCAGACUAGAGUGAUGUAGGGGAGACUGGAAUUCCUGGUGUAGCGGUGAAAUGCGCAGAUAUCAGGAGGAACACCGAUGGCGAAAGCACUCUGCUGGGCCGACACUGACACUGAGAGACGAAAGCUAGGGGAGCGAAUGGGAUUAGAUACCCUGG